RNAcentral lists this long non-coding RNA (13667 nucleotides) under Pelobates cultripes (western spadefoot toad). Lineage: Eukaryota; Metazoa; Chordata; Amphibia; Anura; Pelobatidae. The record is from RNAcentral.
AGUAUGCGCAAUACUGAUAUGGUUUUACAAAAAGAGAAAAUACCAUUCUGGGUGAGCAUUGAUUCACAUUGAGGAGAAAUAAUUCAUUUUGUUUUUUAUAUCAGGCAGUUAUUCAAUAAACGGAGAUAUGUGCUGACAUUUGUAUUUGCAAACAUUAGAUUAAAACAGCUGGGUUGGAAUAUCUUCAGAAUGUAGCUUAGAAUUUGCAUAUUUUCAGUUUACUGUUUAGUAAAUAAACCAUGUUCUAGUCUUGUCAUGGGAUUUCUGUGCUUAAACUGGGAGCCCAAAUUAUAAUCAUUAUUUACACAGUCACCCUGUCACAAACACUCCUCCACAGACCAUGCCACCUGUUCCACUCGCACUCUUCACAUACCGCCAUCCAACCACCCACCUAGUCAUACCAACCCACCAUGUCAGAUUCUCAUACCGACUUACCCAGUCACCUUCACUAUUCAAUAGAAUACCACAAACAAGCCAGAUUUACCUUACUUAUCACGUACCCCAGUUUAGUCGCAUUCAGUUAUCUAAGUCACAAAUUAAGUGUGGUACCCCACCUACUGACAUACAACCAUUCAGUUACACAACCUACUCACUUACAUUUACUCAUUAAGUCUCAUAUCCCAGCCUACAGCUAUUCACUAAGCUGGACAGUCAGUGAAGUUCAUAUUUUGGGCCACAAUAGCAAAAUUUCUCGCUUGUUUAUUUUGACCUAAAACGUAUAAUUUUUUGUUCAAUUCCCAACAAUUUCGAGUUUAGUGGAUAACACUGCAAUUCCCUGUUACCCAUCUGAUUACAUACUGCAACCCGUUCCCAUACUCCCAUCUACCCUCACCAGCUCGGUCACAUUCUCCACAUUCACAUGACCACAUACAAUCACCUAACCCCUGUCACAAGCACACAUUACCCAUAUGUCCACAGCCACAGAUCACACAUGCAGUUACUCAUACAUAUGGUGUCUCUCACGUACCUAUACACAUAGCGGACAGAGGUAUGGUGGGGGCAGAACGUUUCAUAUUUUAUGGAUUAGAUAGGUUUGUGGAUUCCAUUCUCACUAUGUUCAGCAAACCCUAAGCAUUAUGGAUAUCUUGUUCAAAUAUAUCUUAAGUGCCAUUUAAAACCAUCAUUCUUAGUGGCCGCAUUUCUUAUGCACAUCCACCUGUCAAGGAAAGGUUAGGACAUAUAGAAAGGUAGGGGCAAAUUUGUCCAGAUCAACAAGGCACAAAAAAAAAAAAUCUUACACCCAGUUUCCACUGACCCUUGGCUCACCGUUGACUGUUUUAUACUUACCUCAUCCAUAAACCGAAACCAUCAAAUACUUGGAAUUUAUUGGGAUAAUAGAAUGUGGAACUGUCUUUAUCAGAAACUGCCCCUUAGAUCCACGUGUGGUAAGUCUGACUCGUAAGAGUAGGCUUGUGAGUCUGACUACAAUUUGAGCAACACUGGGUGAUUCCCCAGAAAACAUUGAGCAACAAAUUAUGUAACCAGCGGGCUGCUGGUAUCUGGAAAAUAAAUAGGAUUUUACGAGAAUUCCUCGUGAUCCCUGGAGAGUACAGAUAUCAUUUGUCCUAAAGCACACUUUAGCUUUAGAGACUAUCAUGUAAAAGAUGUUUGUUUUACAGAGAGGCAGUUAAUAUUUACUUUGAGAGAGAAUGAGUUCUAGACUUCUUCCUCAAUUUACGCAGCUUGAAUUCACCUCUACGUGUAGAAAUAGGUAAUUAUUACCAAUAUCACAAAUAUCAGAAUAUAGUUUAAGGCAAAAAAAAGUGCAGAAAUGAUGAAAAGUGUUUAUUUUAAAAAUAUAUAUAUAUAUUUUUUUUGUAUUGAAAAAGUAUCAAAAUAUAUUUAUUAAUACAUACUUUUCCAUUUAUUACAUACAUGUAACAUUACAUACAAACAUUUUGCUCAGGGCUUACUAACGGGGUAUGGGUCUUUCUAACAUUUUCUCUUAAUUUCCUCUAUUCUUCCUUUUCUUUCUCUUUUCUUCUUUUGAUUAGUAUUGUCCAAGGUUAUAUCUUUACUUCUAAUGUGAUAUUUUAUCUAUUAAAUCUAGACAGUCUUAAUUUAUUAAAGAGAAAUAUAUGCAUACAUAGUGGGUGGGGUAUCUUGGUUCAGGGUAACGGAUGGUGGUACAAAUACAGAUGGAAUAACUGUAAAGAUACAAUGGUAGACAGGCACCUAGUGCAAUAGAAGUAGUAAGUGGGCACUUAAUAAGUGGAUUGUAUGUUUGGAGUGGUUAAUUAUGUAUAACUGGAUUGAUGUGCACAAUAACCUACUUAAUGGCUUUUUGUGUGAAAAGCUGAACUAUGUGUCACUGGUGUGUGACACGUUGAUAAGGGGCACAGAUAGAAAAUUAAAUAGUAAGAGCCUUCUUGACACAAGUAUUUUUAAUAUUAGGGAGAGAGCAGUGAUUGGUAAAUUGGACUUUUACAUACUGAGCAUGCAAUGAGAAUUAGCAGAGUUAAAUGCGUAUAAAUAGCACAUUUAGCGCAUGAUCAAUACAUUUCAAAAAGAUGCAAUUAGCUGCAUUCAUUAGCAACUAAGUAAAUUGCUCCUGAUACUCUGUUGUCUCAAAGGAUUAACCAUUGAUUACCAGCAAUUCGGACAUUCGUAAGCAUUCGUAAGCAUUUGAAUGUACAUUCGGAACGAAACUAGUUGCACAUGUCUAAAAACUAUCUGUUAUUUCUGAAGCUAAUGAUUCAAUUGAUACUAUGUAUAACAGGGGUGACAAAGGGCACCCCUGUCUUGUACCAUUGCUUAUUAGGAACCAAUCGGCUAGGAUAUUUUGGCCCACCGCUCUUGCUGUUGGACAUGAAUACAAUGAUUUGAUAGAGCUGAACAUAAAACCAUUGAAUCCAAAAUUACUAAGAGACUGAAACAGAUACCCCCAGUCUACCCAAUCAAACGUUUUUUUCUGCGUCUAUUGAUAUUGUUUAAAAUGAUUGCUUAUCUCUCUCUGCCUUGUCUAAUUGAUUAAUUAGUCUUCUGAUGUUAUUAUAGGAUAUUCUUCCUGAUAUAAAUCCUAUUUGAUCUCGGUGUGUAUAUCUGGGAGUAUCUGUUUCAGUCUCUGAGUUAAUGAGAGAAAUUGGUCUGUAUUUCUCUGUAUUUUUCUUAUCUUUUAAUAUAGGUAAGAUAUUAGCCCUUUAAAAUUCUUCUGGGGAGUGGCCUUUUUCUUAAAUUUCAUUAGAUGCCAUUGACAGAUGGCCACUGAUGUUAUCUUUCAUGACUUUGUAAAAUAUUCCACUAAACCCAUCUGGGCAAGGUGCUUUUUGUUUUUUAUAUUAUCUAUGGUCCACAUCACUUCUUCUUCAUUGAUUGGAUUAUUCAGCUCUUUUUUUUUAAUGUUAGAAAUUCUGUAAAUCUGAAUUUUAUCCAGGUAUUUGUUAUUUUUCCUGAUCUUAUACUGAUGGAUCUGUUGCAUAGUUGACUAUAAUACUUAUUAAAAACUGUACCUAUGUCUUUUGGUGACAUAUGGAUAUGACCAGGGCCAGCCUUAGGCCUUUAGGUGCCCUGUGCAAAACAUAUUCGCAGUGCCCCCCCCUCCACUGUCAUCCAUGUAUAGUUUGUGUAUAGAAAUGUAGCAAUUGUAAAGGGGAUUUAUUAAAUAAAUAUUGAUUUAAAAAUAAAUAUUCAUUACACACACAGAGUUACAGGCAGACAGUCACACACACAGUUACAGGCAGACAAUUACAAACACACACAAACAGAUGGACAGUCACGUACAUACAGCCAGCCAGUGUAACACACACUCCGUUACAUGCAGACAGCCACAUACACACAGGCAGACAGUCACACACACAGACACAGGCAGAAAAUCACACACACACACACACACACACAGGCAAACAGUCACACACAGGCAGACAGUCACACACACAGGCAGUCACACACAGGCAGACAGUCACACACAUACACACACACACAGGCAGUCACACACACACACACACAGGCAGUCACACACACAUACACAGGCAGUCACACACAGGCAGACAGUCACACACACACAGGCAAACAGUCACACACAGGCAGACAAGCACACACACAGGCAGUCACACACAGGCAGACAGUCACACACAUACACACACACACAGGCAGUCACACACACACACACACAGGCAGUCACACACACAUACACAGGCAGUCACACACAGGCAGACAGUCACACACACACAGGCAAACAGUCACACACAGGCAGACAAGCACACACUGUUGCCUUCAUUAUGGAGAUGGAAGUAGUGCAGCUUCUGGAUUCUGCUUGUUGGGGAAGCAGGGACUCUUUCCUGCUUCACAUGCAGCAAUUGCCAGGUCCGGCACUUCUAGCCCCGCCCCGCCAUCAUUUAGCCCCACCCCACACACGCUAAGCCCCACCCCUACCGCAAUGCUUUUGUUGUUUUUUUUUAAUCCCGGUGGAGAAUAAGGAAAUCCUCCACCCCGGCAGCCGGCCAUGUGUGAGCUGUGUCGGCUGUCAGGGUGCCCCCUGCUCCAAGGCGCCCUGUGUGGUCGCACAGCUCGCACACCUCUAAGGACGGCCCUGGAUAUGACCGUCGUCAUCAACAAUUUUGUAUAUAUGAUUAUUUGCCUGUUUGUUUGUUUUAGUUGGUUUGAUAUCAUUUUAUCUGCUUUAUUAUUUUUACGGUAGCAAGCCUGUUUUAACUUUUCUAAUUACCAACUAAACUUUUUAAUUUCUUCUUCUUUCACCUUUUUUGGAGAUUAAUUAUAUCAUUAGAUCCAUUAGGUAUUGGAUUUCACAUAUUUUCUUUUUUUAAGUUUUAAAGGUUAAUAUAUAACGAAUUAAUAUUGUCCCCUUUUUGUUUAUUGGCUGGUGCUCCAAUUUUUUAUUAAAUACCUUCUUCACGCUCUUUUAAAAGCGCACCAUAAAGCUGCUUUGGAAUUAACAGAAUUUGUAUUUUCAUUGAAAUAUAAUUCUGUCAUCUACUUUAUAUAUGCUAAAUGUUCUUCUUUUAUUAGGAGUUACUCAUUUAAUCUCCGUUGUCUGUUUAUAUUAUAUUCCUUCCUGUCCUUAAUCGACCAAAAUACUGCAUUGUGGUCAGACCAUAUAGUCUGAAAUGUGUUUAUAUUGCAUCAGUAGCAGACUUUCAGAAGUGCUUUCAGACAGUUCACAUUACAUUGGAGAAGGAGAAACACAAUGGGGAGAUAUAGCAAAGUGUUAUGUUCUGAAAUGUGGUGCUUAAUACUAAAAGGAGUGGAGUCACAAUGGAAUGUGCCUGAUGGUUCCACUUGUUUCCAUGGUGACUUCCCCACUUUGUACCAUUUUUCAGAACACAGCACAUUGAUAAUUCUACCUUAUCAUUUCUGUCUCUCAUCUUCUGCUUGCUAUGUUUUUCUCCGGGCCAUUAAAGGGACACUCCAAACACCUAAACACGUCCUGCUGGAGCGUGUGUCUAUUUUUUUUCAACUCUACAUAAAGGGCAGUUUUCAAUAGAAAUUGACACUUUUAUAAGUUAGACUUGUUACACCCCCCUGAAUGUCAAUCAGGCAAUGGGUCCCAUUACUUCCUGGUUUGGUUAGCUCAGUGGAGCUAUACUCAAGAUGCAGCAAUUUCCCAGAGCACUUGCCUAGCAAAGACUUCUCACUGAGCUACAUUUGGAAGUCUGUGAUUGGACAGCCACCGAAAGUCUGGGUGGGGCUACAAAGGGAGGGCUAGCAAAGGCUGGAGGAAAGGGAUCUGCAGCUUUUGCAAGUUGUUUUUUUAGAUAAACCCCAAUGAGAAAAAAUGCAUAAUUAAAUCUAUGCAUGUUUUUAUUGUGGAUAUAUCUACUAAAUAGUGAUUUAUGUAUUUUUAUUUGGUCAGUGUAGUGUCCUUUUAAUUAUCUUCACCUCCAUGCAGAUAUUUGUGGAAGUUCUAGGAAGGCCUGACCAACAGGUGCAAAGGGCGGAGCCUAUAACAAUGAUUAACACGGAGCCAAGAUGGAGGCAUUUAGUUUCUAUAUGAAAUUUUGUUUUUCAGUCCUCAGAAACACAUAAUUGUUACAUUUAGGGUUAAGUGAACCUAAUAGCCCGGGAAGUAUCCUUUUAGUAUUUUAAAUAAUGUAACUGCUGCAUAGCUUACAUACAACACAGAUAUCGCUGUGGAAAUUGUCACAGGAAGUCACUUGAUAUCAAUCUCUGUUCGCAGAAAGAAACCAAAAAGUCCAAUAAGUGGGAAAGAGACAAGGCGUUUUCAGCCAUCGGAUGAUUAUUACUGUGAAAUAAAAAAUCUCAAGGUAUGGAAUAUGCCAUUGUUUGUAGCAAUUUUGACAUUUUGAAGACUCAUUAGCGUCACAUUUUAUUCUGUUUGUCGUGCUAGUGGAACACCAGAAAAAUGCAUAGAUUUGCUGAUAAUAAUAUAUAUAUAUAUAUAUAUAUAUAUACAUACAUACAGGCAUGGGAAAAAGAAAGUACACCCUCUUUGAAUUCUACGGUUUGACAUAUCAGGACAUAAUAACAAUCAUCUGUUCCUCAGCAGUUCUUAAAAUUAGGUAUAUACAACCUCAGAUGAAUAACAGCACAUGACACCUUACACCAGUUAAUGAUUUAUUUAACAAAAAUAAAGCCAAAAUGGAGACUUCGUGUGUGAAAAACAGUACACCUUAUGAUUCGUUAGCGUGUAGAAUCACCUUUAGCAGCAAUAACUUGUAGUAAUGGUUAUCUGUAUGACUCAGUCUCUCACAUCAAUGAGGAGGAAUUUUGGACCACUCUGAAGUUGAACCACUACAUUGAAGUUUGCUUGCAUUUGUUUAUACACACCUCUCUUAAAGUACCGCCACAGCACUUCAACCGAGUUCAGGUCUGGACUUUGACUUGGCCAUUGCAACACCUUGAUUCUUUUCUUUUUCAGCCAUUCUGUUGUAGAUUUGCUGGUGUGCUUGGAAUCAUGGUCCUGUUGUAUGACCCAAUUUCGGCCAAUUUUGCAUUGUCGAAAAAAAGAUGACCCCACAUUUCACUCUAGAAUACCUAGGGUAUACAGAGGAGUUUAUGGUCGACUCAUUGACUGCAAAUUUCCUGGGUCCUGUGGCUGCAGAAAUCAUCAACUCUCUACCACAGUGCUUGACAGUUGGUAUGAGGUGUUUGAGCGGAUAUGCUCUGUGUGGUUUUCACCAAAUGUGGUGUUGUGCAUUAUGGCCAAACAUCUCUACUUUGGUUUCAUCUUUCCAAAGGAUACUGUUCCAGAAGGCUUGUGGUUUGUUCAGAUGCAACUUUGUAAACUAAGCCGUUCUGCUAUGUUGUUUGUAGAGAGAAGAAUCUUUCCCCUGGCAACCCUUCCAAACAAACCAUACUUGUUCAGUCUUUUUCUAAUUUUACUGUCACAAACCUCAGAUGAAUAACAACAUAUGACAUAUUACAUUGUGUCGCAAUUUAAUUAACACAAACAAAGCCAAAACGGAGAAGUUAUGUGUGCUUAGUUAUUCACACAUAACUUCUCCAUUUUGGCUUUGUUUAUGUUAAACAGUAAAUUUUAGUUGUUCACACAUAACUUCUCCAUUUUGGCUUUGUUUAUGUUAAAUUAGUAAAGUUUGCCCCUACUCGCUAUACCACGAGUAGGGGCAUGUCUAUUAAACAGUGAGUAGGGGCAUGUCUAUUAAAAAAAAAAAAUAGGGUCCCCCCGCCCGAGCCCCCACCCACGACGCGCGAGUGGGGGCUUUUAAACUAAAGGGGGGACCUAUUGCCUCCCCGGCCCCCACCCCUGAGUGGUGGGUGGGGGCCCUAAAGUAAAAUGAUGGGGGGGACCUAUUGUCCUCCCCCCUGGCCCCAACCCCUGAGCUGCGGGUGGGUGCCCUAAAUUGGAAUAAGGGGGAGGGACCUAAUGUCCUCCCCCCUGGCCCCUACCCCUGAGCAGUGGGUGGCGGCCCUAAAUACUAAUAAGGGGGGGACCUAUUGUCCUCCCCCCGGCCCCCACCCCUGAGCGGCUGGUGGGGGCCCUAAAACAAAUGCCCCCCCAGGUGACUAGGGGUCCCCAAACCUCUAGUCACCCCCUACCCCAAAAAAAAAUUAUCCCCCUACCUACCCCCCUCACCCUAAAAAUAAUGAGGUGGGGACCUUUAAGUACCUGUAAAAAAAUAAAUAAAACUUACCAUUUGAUGUUUUCUUUCUUCUAAAAAUCUUCUUUUUUCAUCCCCAAAAAAGGCCAAAUAAAAAAACAUAAUUAGGUCCCCCCCCUUAUUCUGAUUUAGGGCCCCCACCCACCGCUCAGGGGUGGGGGCCCGGGGGGAGGACAUUAGGUCCCGUCCCCCCAUUAUUUUACAUCUGGACCCCCACCCGCCACUCAGGGGUGGGGGCCAGGGGGCAAUAGGGAGGGGGGACUUUUUUUGAGGCGGCCUCGGGCUCACUGUUUAAUAAGACAUGCCCUAAAUUCUUGUUAUGUGGUAGGGCAUAAUUCUAAUACUAAGUGAUCUUUUGCCCAGUAUUGGUAAAUUGUCUGAAAACAAUUUGGGUCUUUCGGCCUUUUUAAUGGAGUUCUCCCGUUAGAGAUUAGGGAGUUAUCUACUUAUUUAUUCCUGUCGUUACAUGACUGGCUAAGUAACUUACAUUUUAUUUGAAUGUGUGUUACUUGAUUGUUGUAAGUGUUGCAAAUGCUUACAGCUGAAUCCUGGCUAUGUUUGUAUACUUUUUAUUUAAAAUUGUAUACAAUGUAACAUUCUCCUUCUUUCCCUGGGUAAGUAUAUUAGAACUUAGGCAAUAUUGUGCUUCGGAACUUCGCACUUUGACACUUCGGAACUUCGGCACUUCAGCACUUUGGAACUUCGGCACUUCGACACGUCGGAAAUUCUGUAAUUUCUGAACUUCGGGACCUCGGUACUUCGGCAAUUCGGACAUUCGGAAGUACGCGAAUGUCCGAAUUGCCCGAAAUUCGUCCAAAUUCAUAUUCGGACCGAAACGAAUUGCACAUGUCUACUGCUAAGGAACAGAUUGUGAUAGUGAUUGAAAUGGGACUUCAAAGUCUUGUACAUGACAGUUCCUGUGUGUGAUUGCAUUGUGACCGCAAAGCUAGUUUUUACCUUAAAACCAUAAAUACGCAUGAUUCACUCUGGCUGGCCAAAUGUGUGUACAUUGAAAAUUUAGUGCAAAUUUUAGGUCGAUGUUGGAAAAAUGACACUUUCUAUAUAUUUUGCCAUAAAGCAUGCAAUUUUCAUGUCAAUUCAACACAAUUCUAAAUUUAGUGAAUAUACACUAAAGUCUUGAUUGUUUCCGAAAGUGAACUGUAUAGAUCUACCAUCUCAUAACGGAAUGAUCCUCCUUUUAUCUCCAGGUGUUGCACAAGAAAAAGGAGUCAGAUAUGGUUUACUCCACUGUCUCACAACCACUAAAGGUAACUACUUACUACUUAUUAAUUAUUUAUGCACCACAUUCUUAAUGGAAUACACCAAGCAUCAUAGCUCUAGUAAUUAAGGUGUUAUAUGUACCCUCUUCUCCCCCAUUGUAAGUAGUCAAACCAGUGGCGUACACACAAUCCAUGGGGCCCAGGUGCAAAACUGAUCUGUGGGCCCCCCCCCGAUCCGUGCCCCGACCCACCCCCGACACAUACAGACACACACACACAUACAUGCACCCCUCAACAGACACAUAAACACAUAGACACAAACACACACACAUACAGAGACACAGACACACACACAGAGACACACACACACCUACAUAUGGGGCCCCAUGGAUUGUGUGUAUGCCACUGCAUAGAUAGACACACGUACAUAUAGAGACACAGACACACACAGAGACACAGACAGAGACACAGACACAUACAGAGACACAGACACACACAGACACACAUACAGAGAGACACAAAUACAGAGACACACACACAGAGACACACACACAUACACAUACAGUGACACACAUGCAGAGACACAUACAUACAUACACACAGAGACACAGACACACACAUACAGAGACACAGACACACACAGAGACAAAGACACACAUACAGAGAGACACAGAUACAUGUACAGAGAGACACAUAUACACAUACAGAGACACACACACACACAUACAGAGACAUAGGCACACACACAGACAGAGACACACAUACACAUACAGUGACACACACACACAUACAGAGACACAGACACACACACAGAGACACACACACGCAGAGACACACACAUACAUACCAAGAGACAGACACACAUACAGAGAAACAGACACACACAUAUAGAAACACAGACACACACACAUAUAGAAAAUGUUUCCUACCUUGUUACUUUCCCUGGGGUCCAUUGGUGGCUCAGCCUGAUGGGAGUCAAAGUUCCCACUCUGACUCUCUCCUCCUCCUCCUUCCUCCCGUGCGGGCUCUCAGUAUGCUGGGAGUAGUCAGGGCCGUCUUUAACGCGGGGCAAACGGGGCAGCUGCCCCGGGCCCAGUUGCUCCUGGGGGCCCAGAGCAGUUGCUCUGUGGGCCCCGUGAUUUGCGCAGCCCCUAUGGACCGGGCGGUGUGGCUCCCGCACACUGAGGAGGCUCCCCGGGUGGCCCAUGCACUAAGGGCCACCCGUGGAGCAUGUGUCAGCAGGGCCCAGUCGGGUGCUGUGGCGCUUAAACAGCGCGACCGGGCCCCUCUUCCGGUUCUGCACCCGGCUGGGAGGAAGUGACGUCACUUCCUCCCACCGGAGAUAAUGGCCGCGCGGGAGGAGGAAGGCAGGGAGGAGGGGAGUUCCAGAGGAGAACUCCCAUCUGCCUCAGCCUGCCACUGGACCAGGGAAACCACCCUCCAGGAAAAGGUAAGAACCUGGAGGGUGGCUAAAUGUAUGUCAGUAGGUCUGUCUGUGUGUCAGUAUGUCUCUGUGUGUGUGUGUCAGUAUGUCUGUCUGUGUGUAUAUCUGUGUGUGUGUGUGUGUGUCAGUAUGUCUGUCUGUGUGUUUAUAUCUGUGUGUGUAUGUGUCAGUAUGUCUGUGUGUGUGUAUGUAGGUAUGUCUCUGUGUGUGUGUGUGUACGUGUGUGUCAGUAUGUCUGCCAGGAUAUAUUUGUGUGUCAGUGUAUGUGUGUGUCAGUAUGUAUCUGUGAAUGUUUUAAUGUCUGUCUGUGUGUAUGUGCCAGUACGUCUGUCUGUGUGUAUGUCAGUAUGUAUGUGUGUGUGUGUCAGUAUGUCUGUGUGUGCAUGUAAGUAAGUAUGUCUGUGUCUGUGUGUGUAUGUAAGUAAGUAUGUCUGUGUGUGUGUGUAUGUGUGUGUCAGUCAGUAUGUCUGUCAGUGUAUGUGUCUGUGUGUGUAUGUAUGUAUGUCUGUGUGUCAGUAUGUCUGCCAGGAUAUAUUUGUAUGUCAGUGUAUGUGUGUGUCAGUAUAUAUCUGUGAAUGUUUUAAUGUCUGUCUGUAUCAACCAUUACGUCUGUCUGUGUAUAUGUCAGUAUGCCUGUGUGUGUGUGUCAGUGUGUAUGUCAGUAUGCCUGUGUGUGUGUGUCAAUGUGUCUGUCAGUGUAUGUGUCUGUGUGUUUUAGUAUAUCUGUCAGUGUAUGUGUUUGUGUGUGUCAGUAUAUCUGUUAAUGUAUGUGUCUGUGUAUGAAUGUAUGUAUGUAUGUCUGUGUGUGUGUCAGUAUAUCUGCCAGUAUAUAUUUGUGUGUAGUGACUGUGUGUGUCAGUAUGUAUCUGUGAAUGUUUUAAUGUCUGUCUGUGUGUGUAUGUGCCAGUACGUCUGUCAGUGUGAUUGCGGGUUGGACGUAAUUGGGGGGUGAGGCAGUGGCAGGGACAGGGCCCAUGGGGCCCAAGAAAAUGCAUUACGCAGGGUCCUAAUCAUAUUAUAGACGGCCCUGGGAGUAGUGACCGGGGAAUCACUUCCUCCCAGCGUGUGAUGUUAUCACAGGGGGCCCAGUCGCGCACUUAAAGCGCCCAGCGCUGACCGGGCCCCCUUACAAUCCAUAUCGAUCAGGUGGCCCUGACAGCAUGGGCCACCCGAUGGAUCCAUCCAUAUGCGGGGCCACAAAAUGUGGAAGCAGGCCUGGUACCGGGUGGCAGGCGUCAGCAGGGCGGCCGGGACCCCUGGAGUGAAUGUUUGGACUUUUUAUGUGACAUCCACCGGGCACCACUCCCUUCCUCGACUACUUAAAGGGAUUCUAUAGUGUAAGGAAUACAAAGUUGUAUUCCAUACACUAUAGAGCCCUGUGGUCCCUGCCGUGCCUCCCAGUGCACAAAGGGUCAUAAGCAAACUCAUCAGGGAGAUUGCCACACAUACGCAUUAGCCAACCCUUGCCGGACGACAUCAGAGGAGGCCGAGUGUCGACUCAGCACCAAGGGACAUUGUUGCUGGAAUUGGGUAAGUGGCUAAAGGGUUUUUUAACCAAUUCCAGAGUCAACGCCAUUCCCAUUUCAAUGGGUAUUUAACUAACGCUGGAUGUCCUCAUGUCGGUUAGCUAACAGGAAGUGCCUCUAGUGGCAGUCUGAUUGAUAACCACUACAGGGUGUCUUAAUCCUGCAAUGUAAUUAUUCCAGUUUCUCCAAAACAUUGCAGGGCUAAGAGAACAUGGACACUGCACCCAUACUACCUCAGUUUGCUGAAAUGAUCUGGGUGACUAUAGUGUCCCUUUAAGCCCGAGAGCAAUAAAAGGGAUUUAGAUUUACUGAGCUAGGUCCUAACUCAUAGGACUUAAAGGACCACUCUAGGCACCCAGACCACUUCAGCUUAAUGAAGUGGUCUGGGUGCCAGGUCCAGCUAGGUUUAACCCAUUUUUUUUAUAAACAUUGCAGUUUCAGAGAAACUGCUAUGUUUGUAAAUGGGUUAAUCCAGCCUCCAAUUCCUCUAGUGGCUGUCUCAUUGACAGCCGCUAGAGGCGCUUGCGUGAUUCUCACUGUGAAAAUCACACUGAGAACACGCAAGCGUCCAUAGGAAAGCAUUGUAAAUGCUUUCCUAUGAGACCUGCUGAAUGCGUGCGCAGCUCUUGCCGUGCGUUUGCAUUUAGCCGAAUGGGAGGAUCGGAGGCGGACAGCUCCCCUCACGGCACUGGAGAAAGGUGAGUGUUUAACCCCUUCCUCUCCCCAGAGCCUGGCGGGAGGGGGUCCUUGAGGUUGUUUUCCUGGCACUAUAGUGGUCCUUUAACAGUAAACAAAAUAACUUCUUUACUUUAAAAUAGCAUAUCAGCUUAAACUAAAGCAGUACUUUCAGUAUUUUUAUUUGAAGGUGAUUUUUUUUACCUGUAGAUCUGCACAGUAUUCUGGAGUGGUGUUUUAUAAAGCAGGCACACUUUCAUCCAGGGCUACUUUUUAUUCCCAGUCCUGCCCUGACUUAGAGAGACUUGUAGACCAUAACUAAAUGCCUUGGUGUUUUUGCCUGCUUUGACUCCUAUUGUCGAUUCUCAUACAGAAAUCUCCACUCAGUAGAAGACAAGAUGUGGAUAGAAUGGCUCCAGAAUACGACACUAUUAAAGCUUCAUAUGUUCAAGUCCUGUAAUGUGGGAAAACUGGAAUCCAUCUUCAAUUCAUUUAAUCACGAACCGCUCCCAGUCUGUAAAGGUCCAUCCAUGCAAACUGUCAUUGUAGUCUUAUGGAUACUGUAAACAAGAAUGUGUCAAAUGUUUUCAUUAUUCUGUAUUUUCGAGACUUCUACACAGCGAAAAAAAUGUGGUCAGCUAAACCAUAUGAAAUUAAUUCUGGACCUCCACCUUGUUCAGUUCACGGUUUGGCCCCCCAAAAAUUUUCAUUUGGUUCACAGUCAAGAGAGGAAAUGUAACCAAUGUGAGGGAAAGAGAAACCGAAG